UAGUCACACCAGAUGUAUACUGUAGCAGAU
This 30-nucleotide non-coding RNA is filed under the name Mus musculus (house mouse). Lineage: Eukaryota; Metazoa; Chordata; Mammalia; Rodentia; Muridae. The record is from RNAcentral.